Molecule: non-coding RNA, 30 nt
Filed under: Mus musculus (house mouse)
Lineage: Eukaryota; Metazoa; Chordata; Mammalia; Rodentia; Muridae
Source: RNAcentral
UGAAGAGUUUUCAAAGUUGAGAGCCAUUCA